This 1359-nucleotide ribosomal RNA is filed under the name uncultured bacterium. RNAcentral describes it as "bacterial SSU rRNA". It matches the Rfam family "Bacterial small subunit ribosomal RNA", at positions 28 to 1381 of the family's 1533-position model. The record is from RNAcentral.
AUUGAACGCUGGCGGCAUGCCUUACACAUGCAAGUCGAACGGCAGCAUGAUCUAGCUUGCUAGAUUGAUGGCGAGUGGCGAACGGGUGAGUAAUACAUCGGAACGUGCCCUGUAGUGGGGGAUAACUAGUCGAAAGAUUAGCUAAUACCGCAUACGACCUGAGGGUGAAAGUGGGGGACCGCAAGGCCUCAUGCUAUAGGAGCGGCCGAUGUCUGAUUAGCUAGUUGGUGAGGUAAAGGCUCACCAAGGCGACGAUCAGUAGCUGGUCUGAGAGGACGAUCAGCCACACUGGGACUGAGACACGGCCCAGACUCCUACGGGAGGCAGCAGUGGGGAAUUUUGGACAAUGGGGGCAACCCUGAUCCAGCAAUGCCGCGUGUGUGAAGAAGGCCUUCGGGUUGUAAAGCACUUUUGUCCGGAAAGAAAUCGCACUUACUAAUAUUAGGUGUGGAUGACGGUACCGGAAGAAUAAGGACCGGCUAACUACGUGCCAGCAGCCGCGGUAAUACGUAGGGUCCAAGCGUUAAUCGGAAUUACUGGGCGUAAAGCGUGCGCAGGCGGUUGUGCAAGACCGAUGUGAAAUCCCCGGGCUUAACCUGGGAAUUGCAUUGGUGACUGCACGGCUAGAGUGUGUCAGAGGGGGGUAGAAUUCCACGUGUAGCAGUGAAAUGCGUAGAGAUGUGGAGGAAUACCGAUGGCGAAGGCAGCCCCCUGGGAUAACACUGACGCUCAUGCACGAAAGCGUGGGGAGCAAACAGGAUUAGAUACCCUGGUAGUCCACGCCCUAAACGAUGUCAACUAGUUGUUGGGGAUUCAUUUCCUUAGUAACGUAGCUAACGCGUGAAGUUGACCGCCUGGGGAGUACGGUCGCAAGAUUAAAACUCAAAGGAAUUGACGGGGACCCGCACAAGCGGUGGAUGAUGUGGAUUAAUUCGAUGCAACGCGAAAAACCUUACCUACCCUUGACAUGCCACUAACGAAGCAGAGAUGCAUUAGGUGCUCGAAAGAGAAAGUGGACACAGGUGCUGCAUGGCUGUCGUCAGUUCGUGUCGUGAGAUGUUGGGUUAAGUCCCGCAACGAGCGCAACCCUUGUCUCUAGUUGCUACGAAAGGGCACUCUAGAGAGACUGCCGGUGACAAACCGGAGGAAGGUGGGGAUGACGUCAAGUCCUCAUGGCCCUUAUGGGUAGGGCUUCACACGUCAUACAAUGGUGCAUACAGAGGGUUGCCAAGCCGCGAGGUGGAGCUAAUCCCAGAAAAUGCAUCGUAGUCCGGAUCGUAGUCUGCAACUCGACUACGUGAAGCUGGAAUCGCUAGUAAUCGCGGAUCAGCAUGCCGCGGUGAAUACGUUCCCGGGUCU